This 196-nucleotide ribosomal RNA is filed under the name uncultured bacterium. Its description in RNAcentral is "partial 16S ribosomal RNA". It matches the Rfam family "Bacterial small subunit ribosomal RNA", at positions 328 to 539 of the family's 1533-position model. The record is from RNAcentral.
ACGCUCGACACCUACGGAGGCAGCAGUGGGGAAUAUUGCACAAUGGGGGAAACCCUGAUGCAGCAACGCCGCGUGAGUGAAGAAGUAUUUCGGUAUGUAAAGCUCUAUCAGCAGGGAAGAUAAUGACGGUACCUGACUAAGAAGCUCCGGCUAAAUACGUGCCGCAGCCGCGGUAAUCUGAGCGGGCUGGCAAGGC